Molecule: non-coding RNA, 119 nt
Filed under: Asticcacaulis sp. YBE204
Lineage: Bacteria; Pseudomonadati; Pseudomonadota; Alphaproteobacteria; Caulobacterales; Caulobacteraceae
Also listed under: 1 other name
Description: SAM riboswitch aptamer (S box leader)
Rfam family: SAM riboswitch aptamer (S box leader)
About the family: The SAM riboswitch is found upstream of a number of genes which code for proteins involved in methionine or cysteine biosynthesis in Gram-positive bacteria. The SAM riboswitch acts at the level of transcription termination control.
Source: Rfam by way of RNAcentral
AACUCAUCGAGACCAGCCGAGGGACAGGCCCGACGACGCUGGGGCAACCGCCAGAUGCUUCAUUUAGCCUUUGGAAUGGUGCCAACUCCUGCGGAAUUUCGCAUUCCGACAGAUGAGAG